Molecule: ribosomal RNA, 434 nt
Filed under: uncultured bacterium
Lineage: Bacteria
Description: bacterial SSU rRNA
Rfam family: Bacterial small subunit ribosomal RNA
Source: RNAcentral
AACGAACGCUGGCGGCAGGCCUAACACAUGCAAGUCGAACGCUCCAGCAAUGGAGAGUGGCAGACGGGUGAGUAACGCGUGGGAACCUUCCCUAUGGUUCGGAAUAGCUCAGGGAAACUUGAGGUAAUACCGGAUAAGCCCUUCGGGGGAAAGAUUUAUCGCCAUUGGAUGGGCCCGCGUCGGAUUAGCUAGUUGGUGAGGUAACGGCUCACCAAGGCGACGAUCCGUAGCUGGUCUGAGAGGAUGAUCAGCCACACUGGGACUGAGACACGGCCCAGACUCCUACGGGAGGCAGCAGUGGGGAAUAUUGGACAAUGGGCGCAAGCCUGAUCCAGCCAUGCCGCGUGAGUGACGAAGGCCUUAGGGUUGUAAAGCUCUUUUGGCGGGGAAGAUAAUGACGGUACCCGCAGAAUAAGCUCCGGCUAACUUCGUGC